Molecule: ribosomal RNA, 494 nt
Filed under: uncultured bacterium
Lineage: Bacteria
Description: partial 16S ribosomal RNA
Rfam family: Bacterial small subunit ribosomal RNA
Source: RNAcentral
GACGAACGCUGGCGGCGUGCUUAACACAUGCAAGUCGAACGGUGAAGCGCCUUCCUUUUUGGUGUGUGGGUAGGGGUGGCGAACUGGUUAGUAACACGUUAGUAACCUUCCCCCUUCUGCUGGAUAACCGCAUGAAAGUGUUGCUAAUACGUGAUAUUCUGGGUCUGUCGCAUGAUUGGUGUGGGACAGAUUUUGUGUCGGUGGUGGAUGGGCUCGCGGCCUAUCAGCUUGUUGGUGGGGUGAUGGCCUACCAAGGCGAUGACGGGUAGCCGGCCUGAGAGGGUCGACGGUCACAGUGCGAAUGCGCGGCGGAGAAGACUACUACGGGAGGCAGUAGGGGAGAAUCUUGAACGGUGGGAGGCCGGAUGGUGCAGCGACGCCGCGUGAGGGAUGGAGGCCGGAGCGUUGUGAACCUCUUUCGCCAGUGAAGCAGGCUUGACUUGUUUGUGCGCGGCUUGACGGUAGCUGGACAAGAAGCGACGGCUAACUACGUG